UUCCGGUUGAUCCUGCCGGACCUUACUGCUAUCGGGGUAAGACUAAAACAUGCAGGUUGUGCGUCCUGAGCAAUGGUGGGACGCAGCGUACGGCUCAGUAACACGUGGCUAACCUACCCUUAGGACCGGAACAACCCCGGGAAACUGGGACUAAUUCCGGAUAAGUGAGGAGGCCUGGAAUGGUUUCUCACUAAAAGGGCGUUAGGAGCAUGCUUCCUUUCGUUGCCUAAGGAUGGGGCCGCGGCCGAUCAGGUUGUUGGUGAGGUAAAGGCUCACCAAGCCUAUAACCGGUACGGGCCAUGAGAGUGGGAGCCCGGAGAUGGGCACUGAGACAAGGGCCCAGGCCCUACGGGGCGCAGCAGUUGCGAAAACUCCGCAAUGCGCGAAAGCGUGACGGGGUUAACCCGAGUGCUAUCCGCUGAGGGUAGCUUUUUUCUGGUGUAAUGAGUCAGACGAAUAAGGGGAGGGCAAGACUGGUGUCAGCCGCCGCGGUAAUACCAGCUCCCCGAGUGGUAGGGACGAUUAUUGGGCUUAAAGCGUCCGUAGCUGGCUUGACAAGUCUUUCGUUAAAUCCAGCGACCUAAUCGUUGGUCUGCGGGAGAUACUAUCUAGCUUGGGGGCGGAAGAGGUCGACGGUACUCUCGGGGUAGGGGUGAAAUCCUAUAAUCCUGAGAAGACCACCAGUGGCGAAAGGCGGUCGGCUAGAACGCGCUCGACGGUGAUGGACGAAAGCUGGGGUAGCAAACCGGAUUAGAUACCCGGGUAGUCCCAGCCGUAAACGAUGCGGGCUAGGUGUCGGAGUGGAUACGAGCCGCUUCGGUGCCGCAGGGAAACUGUUAAGCCUGCCGCCUGGAAGUACGGUCGCAAGGCUGAAACUUAAAGGAAUUGGCCGGGGAGCACUACAAGGCGUGAGCUUGCGUUUAUUGACUCACGCCG
Molecule: ribosomal RNA, 936 nt
Filed under: uncultured archaeon
Lineage: Archaea
Description: bacterial SSU rRNA
Rfam family: Archaeal small subunit ribosomal RNA
Source: RNAcentral